Long non-coding RNA from Uranotaenia lowii, 581 nucleotides. RefSeq lists it as uncharacterized. The record is from RefSeq and is a predicted model, not a curated record. The transcript has 2 exons. NCBI's taxonomy places the organism in Eukaryota, Metazoa, Arthropoda, Insecta, Diptera, Culicidae.
UUUGCUUGUAAACUUGCUCAAUAAAAAUCAAUCGUUUCGAUUUGCGGCUUGAAAGUUAUCAAGCGUAUAGUAACAAAUUUCAGAAAUAACCAUAUUCAUGAACGUGACUAGCGGUGGUAGGUUACAAUUUUUGAUUAAUCUCACCGAAUAAUUGAUUUGGUAUAACAAAUUCACUUAAUCCAAAUCGAUAGGCUACAGCGACAGAUGUUGGCAAAUGUAGUAGGUAUAUAAGAAAAGCAAAUCAAAUUAGUUUUAUAAGUACAAUUAACUUCAUCUGUAAAUCAAGUUCAGAGUUUCGUGGUGGAAAAAAUGAGAUUGUUACAUUUCAUGUUAAUAUUGAUUCUAUCAGUUUUGCAAAUAGAAAUUGCAAACUCAGUUCGUUUGGAGGGAAACUCUCACGUUCGUUCUAUCAGUCGACGCUGUAAUGAUGCCGAGUGCAAUAAUGGUUGCCGUAAUGGGGGAAAAGCCAGAGGAAACUGCGAAAUCGGCAGAUGCUUCUGUUCCUACAUCCCUUAGCGAAAAAGCCCUAAAAUGAGAUGGUUCACUGAAGCCGCUUUGUUAAUAAAGUGUCGAACACUGUA